GUUUUUGGACCUGUCCAAGGACGUUUUUUGUACCGAAAAUAGGCAAGCGAAUGCAUUACGUUUGCACCCGGGUCAAAGCACUUAAACCGGGUUUUCUUGAUAAUGCCGUGGACACAGUGGACUGGAAAACCCUAACACACGCUAUUUCUCCGGUGGAUUUUAUUGCACCAUUGCCGCAGGCCCGCAGGUAACAGUCUUUUCGUCUCUUCGUGCACGCACCUACAUUUUUUUUUGUGUGAUAUUGUGUAAGCGUGUGUACAUAUGGUUGUUAUUGUUCCUCAGGGAGAAUUUCUUGUUACAAUGAUUUCUUUUAUAGCUUCUCAAUUUUAACUUAGCAGUGUUCCCAAAUGAUAGAAAAUUGUCAAUUUGGGGGAAGUGGAUUUUUUUAGAGUGAAUUAUUCUUUUUGAAAUGCCAAUUUUGAAAGCCUAAUCUUUUUUUUCUUCGAUUAAUUAUAAAUUAAUUUUUUUUCUUUCUUUUUUUCAUUUAUUUAGUUUUGUUUUGUGUUGGUGGGGGUUUCAGAGUGAAAAAUUAUACUGUAUAUGUGAUACUUGAAAAGCUUAUAUGAAUUCAGCUGUUUGAAUGUGGAAAGCUGAAUUUCAUUUUUCAAUUUUCUUUUUAGUUUGUCUUCAAAAGUAAGAAAUGGGUGAGAAGAAGAAGGCUGGUGCAAUGUUGGUGAGGCUUGUUUCGGCGGCGGGGACUGGGUUCUUCUACGUGGUGAAGAAGACCAAAAGG
This 733-nucleotide long non-coding RNA is filed under the name Olea europaea (common olive). RNAcentral describes it as "long non-coding RNA (OEUR_LNC011802)". Lineage: Eukaryota; Viridiplantae; Streptophyta; Magnoliopsida; Lamiales; Oleaceae. The record is from RNAcentral.